GAAUGGUUUGAUCCUGGCUCAGGAUGAACGCUAGCGGCAGGCCUAACACAUGCAAGUCGAGGGGUAGAACACUUCGGUGUUUGAGACCGGCGCACGGGUGCGUAACGCGUAUGCAAUCUACCUUAUACAGGGGAAUAGCCCAGAGAAAUUUGGAUUAAUGCCCCCAUAGCAUUACGACUUGGCAUCAAGAUGUAAUUAAAGUUCCAACGGUAUAAGAUGAGCAUGCGUCCCAUUAGUUAGUUGGUAAGGUAACGGCUUACCAAGACGAUGAUGGGUAGGGGUCCUGAGAGGGAGAUCCCCCACACUGGUACUGAGACACGGACCAGACUCCUACGGGAGGCAGCAGUGAGGAAUAUUGGUCAAUGGUCGCAAGACUGAACCAGCCAUGCCGCGUGCAGGAAGACGGUCCUAUGGAUUGUAAACUGCUUUUAUACAGGAAGAAACCCUCCCACGUGUGGGAGCUUGACGGUACUGUAGGAAUAAGGAUCGGCUAACUCCGUGCCAGCAGCCGCGGUAAUACGGAGGAUCCAAGCGUUAUCCGGAAUCAUUGGGUUUAAAGGGUCCGUAGGCGGUCUUAUAAGUCAGUGGUGAAAGCCCAUCGCUCAACGAUGGAACUGCCAUUGAUACUGUAAGACUUGAAUGCUUAGGAAGUAACUAGAAUAUGUAGUGUAGCGGUGAAAUGCUUAGAUAUUACAUGGAAUACCAAUUGCGAAGGCAGGUUACUACUAAGUGAUUGACGCUGAUGGACGAAAGCGUGGGGAGCGAACAGGAUUAGAUACCCUGGUAGUCCACGCCGUAAACGAUGGAUACUAGCUGUUCGGAGCAAUCUGAGUGGCUAAGCGAAAGUGAUAAGUUCCC
This 858-nucleotide ribosomal RNA is filed under the name uncultured bacterium. RNAcentral describes it as "bacterial SSU rRNA". It matches the Rfam family "Bacterial small subunit ribosomal RNA", at positions 1 to 869 of the family's 1533-position model. The record is from RNAcentral.